This 253-nucleotide ribosomal RNA is filed under the name uncultured bacterium. RNAcentral describes it as "partial 16S ribosomal RNA". It matches the Rfam family "Bacterial small subunit ribosomal RNA", at positions 524 to 776 of the family's 1533-position model. The record is from RNAcentral.
UACGAAGGGGGCUAGCGUUGCUCGGAAUUACUGGGCGUAAAGGGCGCGUAGGCGGACAGUUAAGUCAGAGGUGAAAUCCCAGGGCUCAACCCUGGAAUUGCCUUUGAUACUGGCUGUCUUGAGUAUGGGAGAGGUAAGCGGAACUCCGAGUGUAGAGGUGAAAUUCGUAGAUAUUCGGAAGAACACCAGUGGCGAAGGCGGCCACCUGGACGGUGACUGACGCUGAGACGCGAAAGCGUGGGGAGCAAACAGG